Molecule: ribosomal RNA, 2900 nt
Filed under: Escherichia coli
Lineage: Bacteria; Pseudomonadati; Pseudomonadota; Gammaproteobacteria; Enterobacterales; Enterobacteriaceae
Also listed under: 15 other names
Description: bacterial LSU rRNA
Rfam family: Bacterial large subunit ribosomal RNA
Source: RNAcentral
UUAAGCGACUAAGCGUACACGGUGGAUGCCCUGGCAGUCAGAGGCGAUGAAGGACGUGCUAAUCUGCGAUAAGCGUCGGUAAGGUGAUAUGAACCGUUAUAACCGGCGAUUUCCGAAUGGGGAAACCCAGUGUGAUUCGUCACACUAUCAUUAACUGAAUCCAUAGGUUAAUGAGGCGAACCGGGGGAACUGAAACAUCUAAGUACCCCGAGGAAAAGAAAUCAACCGAGAUUCCCCCAGUAGCGGCGAGCGAACGGGGAGGAGCCCAGAGCCUGAAUCAGUGUGUGUGUUAGUGGAAGCGUCUGGAAAGGCGCGCGAUACAGGGUGACAGCCCCGUACACAAAAAUGCACAUGCUGUGAGCUCGAUGAGUAGGGCGGGACACGUGGUAUCCUGUCUGAAUAUGGGGGGACCAUCCUCCAAGGCUAAAUACUCCUGACUGACCGAUAGUGAACCAGUACCGUGAGGGAAAGGCGAAAAGAACCCCGGCGAGGGGAGUGAAAAAGAACCUGAAACCGUGUACGUACAAGCAGUGGGAGCCUCUUUAUGGGGUGACUGCGUACCUUUUGUAUAAUGGGUCAGCGACUUAUAUUCUGUAGCAAGGUUAACCGAAUAGGGGAGCCGAAGGGAAACCGAGUCUUAACUGGGCGUUAAGUUGCAGGGUAUAGACCCGAAACCCGGUGAUCUAGCCAUGGGCAGGUUGAAGGUUGGGUAACACUAACUGGAGGACCGAACCGACUAAUGUUGAAAAAUUAGCGGAUGACUUGUGGCUGGGGGUGAAAGGCCAAUCAAACCGGGAGAUAGCUGGUUCUCCCCGAAAGCUAUUUAGGUAGCGCCUCGUGAAUUCAUCUCCGGGGGUAGAGCACUGUUUCGGCAAGGGGGUCAUCCCGACUUACCAACCCGAUGCAAACUGCGAAUACCGGAGAAUGUUAUCACGGGAGACACACGGCGGGUGCUAACGUCCGUCGUGAAGAGGGAAACAACCCAGACCGCCAGCUAAGGUCCCAAAGUCAUGGUUAAGUGGGAAACGAUGUGGGAAGGCCCAGACAGCCAGGAUGUUGGCUUAGAAGCAGCCAUCAUUUAAAGAAAGCGUAAUAGCUCACUGGUCGAGUCGGCCUGCGCGGAAGAUGUAACGGGGCUAAACCAUGCACCGAAGCUGCGGCAGCGACACUAUGUGUUGUUGGGUAGGGGAGCGUUCUGUAAGCCUGCGAAGGUGUACUGUGAGGUAUGCUGGAGGUAUCAGAAGUGCGAAUGCUGACAUAAGUAACGAUAAAGCGGGUGAAAAGCCCGCUCGCCGGAAGACCAAGGGUUCCUGUCCAACGUUAAUCGGGGCAGGGUGAGUCGACCCCUAAGGCGAGGCCGAAAGGCGUAGUCGAUGGGAAACAGGUUAAUAUUCCUGUACUUGGUGUUACUGCGAAGGGGGGACGGAGAAGGCUAUGUUGGCCGGGCGACGGUUGUCCCGGUUUAAGCGUGUAGGCUGGUUUUCCAGGCAAAUCCGGAAAAUCAAGGCUGAGGCGUGAUGACGAGGCACUACGGUGCUGAAGCAACAAAUGCCCUGCUUCCAGGAAAAGCCUCUAAGCAUCAGGUAACAUCAAAUCGUACCCCAAACCGACACAGGUGGUCAGGUAGAGAAUACCAAGGCGCUUGAGAGAACUCGGGUGAAGGAACUAGGCAAAAUGGUGCCGUAACUUCGGGAGAAGGCACGCUGAUAUGUAGGUGAAGUCCCUCGCGGAUGGAGCUGAAAUCAGUCGAAGAUACCAGCUGGCUGCAACUGUUUAUUAAAAACACAGCACUGUGCAAACACGAAAGUGGACGUAUACGGUGUGACGCCUGCCCGGUGCCGGAAGGUUAAUUGAUGGGGUUAGCGCAAGCGAAGCUCUUGAUCGAAGCCCCGGUAAACGGCGGCCGUAACUAUAACGGUCCUAAGGUAGCGAAAUUCCUUGUCGGGUAAGUUCCGACCUGCACGAAUGGCGUAAUGAUGGCCAGGCUGUCUCCACCCGAGACUCAGUGAAAUUGAACUCGCUGUGAAGAUGCAGUGUACCCGCGGCAAGACGGAAAGACCCCGUGAACCUUUACUAUAGCUUGACACUGAACAUUGAGCCUUGAUGUGUAGGAUAGGUGGGAGGCUUUGAAGUGUGGACGCCAGUCUGCAUGGAGCCGACCUUGAAAUACCACCCUUUAAUGUUUGAUGUUCUAACGUUGGCCCCUGAUCGGGGUUGCGGACAGUGUCUGGUGGGUAGUUUGACUGGGGCGGUCUCCUCCUAAAGAGUAACGGAGGAGCACGAAGGUUGGCUAAUCCUGGUCGGACAUCAGGAGGUUAGUGCAAUGGCAUAAGCCAGCUUGACUGCGAGCGUGACGGCGCGAGCAGGUGCGAAAGCAGGUCAUAGUGAUCCGGUGGUUCUGAAUGGAAGGGCCAUCGCUCAACGGAUAAAAGGUACUCCGGGGAUAACAGGCUGAUACCGCCCAAGAGUUCAUAUCGACGGCGGUGUUUGGCACCUCGAUGUCGGCUCAUCACAUCCUGGGGCUGAAGUAGGUCCCAAGGGUAUGGCUGUUCGCCAUUUAAAGUGGUACGCGAGCUGGGUUUAGAACGUCGUGAGACAGUUCGGUCCCUAUCUGCCGUGGGCGCUGGAGAACUGAGGGGGGCUGCUCCUAGUACGAGAGGACCGGAGUGGACGCAUCACUGGUGUUCGGGUUGUCAUGCCAAUGGCACUGCCCGGUAGCUAAAUGCGGAAGAGAUAAGUGCUGAAAGCAUCUAAGCACGAAACUUGCCCCGAGAUGAGUUCUCCCUGACUCCCUGAGAGUCCUGAAGGAACGUUGAAGACGACGACGUUGAUAGGCCGGGUGUGUAAGCGCAGCGAUGCGUUGAGCUAACCGGUACUAAUGAACCGUGAGGCUUAACCUU